GUAAUAAUUAGCAACUGCUGGGAGAGGGAGAUGUAUUUUCCUGAAACAUAUGGUUCCUGGUAGGUCAACUGUGCUCCACUGAAGGUAAUCCACCCAGGAUUAGAUGGGCAGCCAUGCUGUACUUGGUAGGGCUAUAAAAACCAGCAAACUAAAAAAGGGUGACAAAGUUGGGUAGAAAGAAAAGUCGUGGAUUUAAGUGGAUUUGAGAGAGAAGACCCAGGCCAAGACAACAGUGAAGGAGCCAUAAUGAGGAUGAAAGGUAUUUAUAGCAGAGGAUUCCUCAAGAAGUUCUGAUCAGGCAAGAUGCCGUGGGACUAUCCAUUGGAGUGUUUAGAGACUGCUUCUUAUGCAUACAGAAGCUAUGCAACUGAUGGGAUAAUUCCGUUUGGGAGAAGCAACAUGACCAAGGCAACUCCUGAAGAAAGCUUUUACUGGGGCUCAUGAAUAGCUUCAGAGGAUUUGCCAACUCCGGGCGUGGUUUUCACUCCAAAUAUUCAGAAGCUGGAGAAGAGAGGAUAGCGAGCUUGAAGCCAGCUUGGGGUGUUUAGUAAGUCCCAGACCAACCCAACCUACCUACACAGUUCCUGCCAAAACAAAACCGUCAUCACCGCCAGCCCCACGGCCAUCAUCAAAAACAACAAAACCCCACAAAGAUUUUACUCUUCAAAACCCUUAGCACAUCAUUUCGUUCGUUUUCUUUCAGUGAUUCAAAUAAAAUAUCUUGAAUUCUGUCAGA
Molecule: non-coding RNA, 736 nt
Organism: Rattus norvegicus (Norway rat)
Lineage: Eukaryota; Metazoa; Chordata; Mammalia; Rodentia; Muridae
Source: RefSeq, a predicted model, not a curated record